CGUAUUCGAUUAAAAAUUAUUCCGUCUCGACACUCCACACUCCUUCAAUCCAGCGUCAUCCAACAGAUCAUUCUCGCCAUCACUCCAAAGACUUCUCGAACAUUGAGCAGGGAGCAGUGAGAGUCGCAACAACAAAAAAUCAAAGUGGAGUAAUCGAGUCAUCACCAUUGCGCGGAGAGAGUGAGACAGCGGUGAUUAUCCGGAGUCAAGACCAAGCACCCUAACAACCGAAAAACCCAACCAUUCUACGUAAUCUUGAUUACGAGUGAAU
Molecule: non-coding RNA, 271 nt
Filed under: Conticribra weissflogii
Lineage: Eukaryota; Bacillariophyta; Thalassiosirophyceae; Thalassiosirales; Thalassiosiraceae
Source: RNAcentral